CCUGGCUCAGAACGAACGCUGGCGGCAUGCCUAACACAUGCAAGUCGAACGAACCCUUCGGGGUUAGUGGCGCACGGGUGCGUAACGCGUGGGAACCUGCCUUUAGGUUCGGAAUAACUCAGAGAAAUUUGAGCUAAUACCGGAUGAUGUCUUCGGACCAAAGAUUUAUCGCCUUUAGAUGGGCCCGCGUUGGAUUAGAUAGUUGGUGGGGUAAUGGCCUACCAAGUCGACGAUCCAUAGCUGGUCUGAGAGGAUGAUCAGCCACACUGGGACUGAGACACGGCCCAGACUCCUACGGGAGGCAGCAGUGGGGAAUAUUGGACAAUGGGCGAAAGCCUGAUCCAGCAAUGCCGCGUGAGUGAUGAAGGCCUUAGGGUUGUAAAGCUCUUUUACCCGAGAUGAUAAUGACAGUAUCGGGAGAAUAA
RNAcentral lists this ribosomal RNA (425 nucleotides) under Porphyrobacter meromictius. Its description in RNAcentral is "bacterial SSU rRNA". It matches the Rfam family "Bacterial small subunit ribosomal RNA", at positions 18 to 489 of the family's 1533-position model. Lineage: Bacteria; Pseudomonadati; Pseudomonadota; Alphaproteobacteria; Sphingomonadales; Erythrobacteraceae. The record is from RNAcentral.